This 3124-nucleotide long non-coding RNA is filed under the name Olea europaea subsp. europaea. Lineage: Eukaryota; Viridiplantae; Streptophyta; Magnoliopsida; Lamiales; Oleaceae. The record is from RNAcentral.
CUUAUCAUCAUUUUUUCUUUUCUUUUUUUCAUUUUGGGCCCUGAAGCAUGGAGACUUUUUCUUCUGACAUUCAUUCACCAUUUCUACACGCAACAUCCCAUUGCUUACUCCGUUCUCCAUUUUGCCUCUCAGUUAUACAUCAUACACAUACACCUCAGUUUUAUUCCGUUUUCCAUUUUUCCUCCCCAGUUAUACAUCACAAGCUUUUUUUGCUAUCUUCAUUAGAAAAUUUGGGGAUGGAAUUCAUAGGUGGAAAAAGGACAGGUAGACCCGAAGGUGAGUUCAACAACAAUGGCGGUUUCAAGAAAUCCAAGCACUAUUUGUUUUUCAUUUUUUUUUUACACUCACUAUUAGUUCUAGGGCUUCUUCUUCUUCUUCUUCUUCUUUUUCGAAUACUUACAGGUUUUAUGUUGAACUUUGAGAAGGGAAAUCAACGUUCUGGGUUAAAAGUCUGGCAUUCCAACAUUUGAAAGCUGGGCUUGAGGAAAAUUGAAUAGAAUUAGCUAAACAAUAUUGUGAACAUUUGGCAAUUAGAAAGAAAAUGGCUCGUUUGGCUUGAUGCUAUGAAAAUCAUUAUGUAUAAUUGGGUUGUUGUUGAUUCAAGAAAAGAUGGUUAUGAGAGGAAUUGUUUGUGUAUAUUAAUUUUGACUUUUUUUUCAUCAAUAUUAUAAUUAUUUUAAAAUUUCAAAAUUUUGAUGUUAUGAUUUCUUCCACCCGAAAUAAAUCUUUAGGAUUACCUUUUUUCCAAGUUUUUGUUUUCUGUUUUAAAUUUGUGAUGUUUGAAUUAAAUCAGAUGUAGACGCGUUCUCCACUUGCCAGAGCUCGAGCUGAUUAUGACUAUAUCUCAUCAAGCUGUUGUUGGUCAGCAACAGUGGUAUGUGUUUUCACGCACUUAACACUUUCACAUUCUGAUUGAAAUGUGUGAACACGCUUUUAUAUUUGAUUUUUGAUUUUUGAUUUUUGAUUUUUGGCUGCGUAUUUAUAGAAAAGCCUAACAUGUCUUAAGAUUUUGUUGAUUUGCCAUGGAAAUCUCUUCAUUUCUUCCGCUAGGUUUUCUUUCCAGUACCCAAUUUCAUUAAUGGAUCUCACAAAGAAACGUGAGGUCGGCGAGAAUGGCGUCACCCGCAUCGCCUAUUCUACACCAAUAGGUUUCAAAUCUCAUUAGUCUUAGUCUCUCAAGCUCUACAGAAAAGAUUAUUGUUGAGCACAUAUGGUGAGUUUCUCUUCAUUUAGUUUAUGGUGUUGCUCUGUUUCUUGAUAGUAUUGGAUUCUCUGUUUUUUGGUUUUAUUUUCUUUUGUCCCAAAAAAAUAUGGGACAUAGUUUUACCUAUCUCUUGAUGUAAUUUUUGUGGGUUUUGAUCCCUUUUUUGUUAGAUUCUCUGGUUCUUCAUUUUAUUGUGUUUCAUAUGCACUAACGUGCUUUGUUUUCAAUUAUUGUGUAACAUGCUUCUUAUUAUACAUUUUUCAAUCAUUCUUUUUACUGUUCUGUAUAUCUGUGCAUAUAUUAUCGUAGAUCUUUUGAUGUUUAUGCAUUUUUUUUUGGGUCUUUCUGGAUCAACCCCAUGAACAGAAGAUCACAUUUUAAUUUGAAGUUUUUGAGUAAUUUCCCACCGUUAUAGUUACAAAUAGCCUUUUCAUUAUUGAUGGAUAUUUAUUGUACCUUUUCCUUGUUAUCCUUCUUUGCAAAUGUACNUUUUGUUGUCUACUUGAUGUUUAUGGGAUUUAUUUGGAGGCAUGAAAUUAAUAAGCAUGGCAAGCUGACCAUACUGAUAGAAUAGAUAGGCAAAGCCAUCAAUAGGUAGUUCGCCUAUUGAUAGCUUAAAUUAGAAGUGAUUAACAAUUGAGAAUCUAACAAACUUCACUAGUCUUGAACCAAGCUAUCCAGUUUAGUCAAUAUCCUAUGUAAGCAGAUAACAAAUUUUGGUUUUACUAGACAGAGAUCGUUGAUUGUAAAAGUUGUGAUUAUUUAUGGUGCUGAUUAUUUUGUACAUUUUGUUUUAAUUCAUUAUAAUUAAUUCUUUUCAAGUGGAACAAACAUUUUUCCUCUUGUUCUACCCAUUGUCAUUUCAUUUAAACAAUAUUUAAACAAGAUUGGUGGCUGUGGUAUGGACGUCAGAAGCAAACAAGGGUAAUCAACCCUUCUUGUCUUGAAUUUUCUUUUUACAAAUGUAAUAAUUAAUGUUCCAUAAUGAGUUUAUAAAUUCUUACACGAUAUCUUUGGUUUUGGUAGGCACUUUCUGGACCCAUUAAUGCCCCUGCAAAGCUUCCGAACUGGAACUAUGGUGGGUCAAGCUCUUAGAGAAGACUUUUAAGUCAUCUUAUAGUAAGCCGUCUUCCAUUUAAGAUAUUUUAUAAUGAAAUAUAUGCAUGCGCAUUAAUGCAUUGCAUGACGAUGAGACAAUCCUCAAACAAUUUACAAUGAUCCAUUCAGGAGGGUAAAUAACAUAUUGGUGAGUUAUUUUUCCCCUUAUUACUAAUAAAUAUUUUGUGUUUAAUUAUGUUGUUAUGUGGAUUAUAUGAUAUCGCCUUUUCUUUUUGCCUCAUAGAUCAUCUGUGAUGCUUACACCCUAGCUAGUGAGCCAAUUCCAACUAACAGAAGGAACAGUCUAACCAAAAUAUUUAGCAAUCCUAAUGUUGUUGCCGAAAAACCUUGGUUUCAUCAUUAUGUGCCAUUUGCGACUCCUCAUUUAGUUUACAUUUUACAAUCCCGAAUUUUUUAGAGCUAUAUCUAUAAUAGGUAUGGUGUUGAGCAAGAAUACACCUUGUUGCAAAAGGAUGUUGGACCUCAAGUAAUUGUUCUGCUUUCGAUGAUUGCUCAUUAUUCUCUGUUCAUUAAGAUUGUGAUUACUGAAUGGUUUAUUUCUUCUUCACCUCAUAGAUAGUCAUCGCCGUCCGAUCAUCAAUCAGUUCUCUUUCUUUUGGAACCCCAAGGCGGCAGCUCAGAUCGAUGGGAGACUAAAAUGAUGCCUUACUACAUAAUCCAAACUCCGCUGUCCAUGCCCAUACAAGGCUCUUUUUAUGAUCCUAGCAUCCUACCUUUUUAUGUUUGUCUAUUCGUCAUCUUAAUCUUUUCAGUUGUUAACAGUGGCGGAUCCAGGGGGCGGCCGCCCUAACUGGAUCCACC